RNAcentral lists this ribosomal RNA (301 nucleotides) under uncultured bacterium. RNAcentral describes it as "partial 16S ribosomal RNA". It matches the Rfam family "Bacterial small subunit ribosomal RNA", at positions 509 to 807 of the family's 1533-position model. The record is from RNAcentral.
CAGCCGCCACGGGAAUACGUAGGUGGCAAGCGUUGUCCGGAAUUAUUGGGCGUAAAGGGCUCGCAGGCGGUUUCUUAAGUCUGAUGUGAAAGCCCCCGGCUCAACCGGGGAGGGUCAUUGGAAACUGGGAAACUUGAGUGCAGAAAAGGAGAGUGGAAUUCCACGUGUAGCGGUGAAAUGCGUAGAGAUGUGGAGGAACACCAGUGGCGAAGGCGACUCUCUGGUCUGUAACUGACGCUGAGGAGCGAAAGCGUGGGGAGCGAACAGGAUUAGAGACCCCUGUAGUCCCUGUCUCUUAUAC